Rhincodon typus (whale shark) is the source of this 398-nucleotide long non-coding RNA. RefSeq lists it as uncharacterized. The transcript has 2 exons. Lineage: Eukaryota; Metazoa; Chordata; Chondrichthyes; Orectolobiformes; Rhincodontidae. The record is from RefSeq and is a predicted model, not a curated record.
GCUUUAGGUCGCUGUGUGGACUACACUGACAGGACCAUGCACAACUUAGGCUUCAAGUGGAGGAAUUCUGACUGCCAAAUCUGUCAGUGCCUCCGCACUGUCGUGGCCUGCCGAAACAGUUAUUCCACGCCGGAGAGGUAUCCAGAUGACUGCGUCGCGGUGUUUGAGAGGGAAAAUUGUCGGUACAGGUUACAGAAGAAGACCAACCCCAUGGUGGAAUGUCAGACAUGGAGAGGUGCAUGAUUCACAGCUUGAACGACACGGCCCAGUGGCAUUGCGAUGGGAGAAGGGGGCUGUUCCAUCACACACCAAUGCAUUGGCACCUGCCAACCUUGGCACCGUCACCCAAAACAGACAAAACACAAUAAAGUGAAGCGACAGUGGUCGUGUCCAAACCA